This 396-nucleotide ribosomal RNA is filed under the name uncultured bacterium. RNAcentral describes it as "partial 16S ribosomal RNA". It matches the Rfam family "Bacterial small subunit ribosomal RNA", at positions 360 to 774 of the family's 1533-position model. The record is from RNAcentral.
AAUCUUGCACAGUGGGGGAAACCCUGAUGCAGCGACCCCUCUUGAGUGAUGAAGGUUCUCUGAUCGUAAAGCUCUGUCCUUGGGGAAGUUAAUGACGGUACCCAAGGAGGAAGCCCCGGCUACCUACGUGCCAGCAGCCGCGGUAAUACGUAGGGGGCCAGCGUUAUCCGGAUUUAUUGGUCGUAAAGGGUACGUAGGCGGCCAGAUAAGUCAGGUGUGAAAGGCAGCGGCUCAACCGAUGUAAGCACUUGAAGCUGUCUGGCUUGAGUACAGGAGAGGAAAGUGGAAUUCCUAGUGUAGCGGUGAAAUGCGUAGAUAUUAGGAGGAACACCAGUGGCGAAGGCGACUUGCUGGACUGAAACUGACGCUGAGGUACGAAAGCGUGGGGAGCAAACA